RNAcentral lists this ribosomal RNA (468 nucleotides) under uncultured bacterium. Its description in RNAcentral is "partial 16S ribosomal RNA". It matches the Rfam family "Bacterial small subunit ribosomal RNA", at positions 28 to 507 of the family's 1533-position model. The record is from RNAcentral.
GACGAACGCUGGCGGCGUGCUUAACACAUGCAAGUCGAACGGAAAGGCCCUGCUUUUGUGGGGUGCUCGAGUGGCGAACGGGUGAGUAACACGUGAGUAACCUGCCCUUGACUUUGGGAUAACUUCAGGAAACUGGGGCUAAUACCGGAUAGGAGCUCCUGCUGCAUGUGGGGGGUUGGAAAGAUUCGGCGGUUGGGGAUGGACUCGCGGCUUAUGAGCUUGUUGGUGGGGUAGUGGCUUACCAAGGCUUUGACGGGUAGCCGGCCUGAGAGGGUUACCGGCCACAUUGGGACUGAGAUAGGGCCCAGACUCCUACGGGAGGCAGCAGUGGGGAAUAUUGCACAAUGGGCGGGAGCCUGAUGCAGCAGCGCCGCGUGCGGGAUGACGGCCUUCGGGUUGUAAACCGCUUUCGCCUGUGACGAAGCGUGAGUGACGGUAAUGGGUAAAGAAGCACCGGCUAACUACGUG